Molecule: ribosomal RNA, 506 nt
Filed under: uncultured bacterium
Lineage: Bacteria
Description: partial 16S ribosomal RNA
Rfam family: Bacterial small subunit ribosomal RNA
Source: RNAcentral
AGUGAACGCUGGCGGUAGGCCUAACACAUGCAAGUCGAACGGCAGCACAGGAGAGCUUGCUCUCUGGGUGGCGAGUGGCGGACGGGUGAGGAAUACAUCGGAAUCUACUUUUUCGUGGGGGAUAACGUAGGGAAACUUACGCUAAUACCGCAUACGACCUACGGGUGAAAGCAGGGGAUCUUCGGACCUUGCGCGAUUGAAUUAGCCGAUGUCGGCUGAGCUAGUUGGCGGGGUAAAGGCCCACCAAGGCGACGAUCCGUAGCUGGUCUGAGAGGAUGAUCAGCCACACUGGAACUAAGACACGGUCCAGACUCCUACGGGAGGCAGCAGUGGGGAAUAUUGGACAAUGGGCGCAAGCCUGAUCCAGCCAUACCGCGUGGGUGAAGAAGGCCUUCGGGUUGUAAAGCCCUUUUGUUGGGAAAGAAAUCCAGCUGGUUAAUACCCGGUUGGGAUGACGGUACCCAAAGAAUAAGCACCGGCUAACUUCGUGCCAGCCGCCGCCGUAA